RNAcentral lists this long non-coding RNA (4256 nucleotides) under Nicotiana benthamiana. RNAcentral describes it as "long non-coding RNA (NBEN_LNC006283)". Lineage: Eukaryota; Viridiplantae; Streptophyta; Magnoliopsida; Solanales; Solanaceae. The record is from RNAcentral.
UCAAACGGGACUCUUCCCUCAAUGUUAUUUUAAUCCAACAGAUUUCUAACAGGAAAAAAGGAAUAUUACCUCCGAAUUUGCACGAUUUCUGUGCUCUUGGGAGAUUUACUUUAUAAAUGGGAGCCGUGGAUGGAUGGAAAUCAAUCCAUGCCUUCCAUUUGUUCCUAAAGUCGUUCACAAAUAAGGAAAUUUUUCGGAUCCUAGGCAGAAGCUUCGAGAAUUCUUUUUAAGGUUAUAUAUAAAUAAGUUCGUUUCUUGAUGAGGAAGGAAAAAAUUGGCAGAAGAUUUAAGUAAAAUUUCUAGAGUUCUCGAGCUUUUUCUUUUAUUCCUAAAGCUCGAGUCUGCUCUCUUCAGAAAAUGAAAAAAAAAGAAAGAAAUAAAAAUGGUCUGAGUUUGUGUUCUUCAUUCUAGUUUAAUUUAAAAAGAAAGAAAAAAAACAAAAAAUAUUUUCAGCAUUUUUUGAUUCUGGGUUCUCAAGGAUGGAGUUGGAUUGAAGUGAUUUCUGGUUCUCAAAGCUGUGGAUUUGCCGUUUGAUUUCCGCCGAUUUUGCUGUUUUUUCUGGAAUUGCUGAGCUUCCAUUCGAGUUUGCUCCUGUUUUAAUCGGUUUAUUCAAGUUUUUCCUUGUGCAACCGGGUUAGUUUGAAACUUUUCUGUAUUAUGUUUCCUGGUAAAUGAUCAAACAAAUGAGUUGCUGUCUAAGUUUGAGGAUCUGCUCCAUUUCCUGAUUAUUGUUGGUCUUAUAUGUAAUAAAAAGCUGUUAAGAUUUCUUGAUGUUGCUCCUGUUUAUAGUAAAGGUGAGAUUAGGGACCAAAAAUUGGGUAUGGUCAGUAGUCAUUAGUUUCCAAAAGGAAAACGGAAUCUAGGGUUCUAUUUGACAGGCUUAGAGUAGUCUAGAUAACAGUAAAAUGCAACAUCUUUAUUAUAAAAGCUGAUUUUGAAACUCCAUGAAAUUAGCAUGAAAAGUGUCAAAUUGGCCUAAAAUUUCUUUCUAUAAUUAACUUCUGGUGUUAGCAAGUUACUGUUGAUUAAGUUUAUUUAUUGUUGAUGACAAUUCAUAUGAUGACCAAAUGAUAAGCAUGCCUAACGUGGUGGAAACAGUAGCGAGCUUGUUUUAAUGUGCCGUUUUGCCGUUUGAUUAUUGUGUAGCCCAUUUGAUUUUACAAGAAUAGCCUAUCCCGUCUUUGUAUCUAAUUGAGUUCUAUACUAUAUUUUUGGUUGUAAUUAUCCAAUUAAUUAUUUGACUGUACUGAUACUACAGACUCUUCCAUUGUUCUUUCUUGCUGCGAGCCUCGGCUAGGUAAUGCUGAAAUUUCUUAGUUUUGUUACAAUGUAAAAGAGCUGGCAUACUGUAGUUCAAUCCGUAAAUCAUGAACUCCAUAGGAAUCUCCAAGUAACUUAGGAAAAUAAUUGUGAACAUCAUAGGUUCCUUUAGGCGCGUAAAUAAUUUAUUAUAACUAUGGAUAUGGUUCCAGUGACAAUAUUGUGAAACCUAAUUUUACAUUAGAUAAAAAUAUGAGCACCUUUAAUAUAUAUAUAUAUAUAUAUAUAUAUACCUUUUUCUUAUUAAAAUUUUAGGUGUGCCAAGCCCAAAACAAAACCUAUAAUGCAUGGCCCUCACAACAUUAGAUCAAGAGCUAAUCCUUUUAAAAUAUAAAUUGAGGUGUAUCAUUCAUACAUGAAUCCUAUAAUCUAUGGCCCUAACAUAAAUACAAAAUUAGUAUAGAAAAUACCUGAACUUUCGUAAUUUGUUUUAGGCGCGUUAAUUAAAUAAUUACCAUAACUACGAGUACGGUUUCCAUGACGUAGUUGUGACGCUUAAUUAAUAAAAUCCUGGGGUAUUUUUAUGUGACCUGGCCACAAUUUAAGUUUUAAUAAAUUAAACAUGUUGUAAAUUCAUGGGUACGGUUCCCGUGACAUGGUUUGCACUGGGUAUCAAACAAACAAGGGUACGACAAUCGUAACUUGUUCCAGAAUAAUUUCAUAAAAUAAUUAAAAAAGCGGUUAUAAAGUUAAAAAUGCACAAUAGGUUUAAAGUACGUAGUAAAUCACAUAAUGUGCCAAUUAUUAAUAGUUUAAGCGAAGGAUAAUGCAUAAAAACCACCCCAUCCUAUGACCAAAUUGCCAACUACACGCCUUUCCUUUGCAGGAGUCCUAUUAUCCCCCUGAACUAUUUUAAAGUGUAAUUAUUUACCCCUUAAAAAUCAACCAACAAAUGCUUGCAAGGUGGUGAAAUACACGCGCCUAGAGUUUUGAGAACAUCCAUUUCUGGCGGAUUUUAAACUAUUUUUCAGUCAUUUCAAGGUUAAAUGACGUUGAUACAUAAGUAAUUUACUCCGUAUAAAUUUUCAUAGUUUAACAGCCAUUAGUUUUCGAUGGAUUAUGAUUAAAACUACGAAAAUUUACUAUGAUUUUUUGGAUUAAUUUUCAAUUUUCUAACACUUUGAACUAGAAAAUUCACAUAACUGUUGUAAUGAAUGUGGGGUGCCUUUUUCGUGAUUAGACCAUGCUAUUUGCUAAGAAUGGGAAGAAUUUAAGUAGAGUAAAUACAAGGAAGUGUCACUGGUGUAGAAAAAGUAGUUGGGUUCUUGACUUUCCACUUGCCUUUGAGAGAGUGUGCAUGCUCUCUAUGCCACGUCAGCACUCAAUGUGGUGUUUAUUACACUUUAAAAUAGUGUAGGGGGGUAAUAGGACCCCCGCAAAGGAAAGGUGUGUAGUUGGAAAUUUGGUCAUAGGAUGGGGUGGAUUAUAUGCAUUAUCCCUUUAUGCGACGGUGCUAGAUCCACGGAACCCAGUAAUGCCUAACACCUUCUCUCGGGUUAACAAAAUUCCUUACUUAGUAUUUCUAGUUUGUGGACUCUUAAAAUAAAGUCGAAAUUUCCUCGAUUUGAAAUUUAAAAUAAAUGGGUUACUUGGGACACCAAAUAAACUUUCCAAAGUGGCAACUCUAAUGCAUUAAUAAUCUCAUAUAGAUUAAUGUCAUUUUAAUUGGAAAAAUCUCCCUUAUAUAUGCUCUCGGGGUGCAAAAAGAAGGUGUGAUAGAUGCCGAAACCUAUCAAAUCACGUCUGAUUGACCUCCAAUUUUACACAUAAGUGAUAAAUGAUACAAUGGACCUACUCCAAAUCCCGAAACAAAUAUCUAAGACCGGUAACCACAAAGUCAUGUCUCGGUCAAACUUCUCAAUUUUCAAAACUUCAUUUUUUCAAUUUUUCCCAUUUCAAUACUAAAUUCAUUACAGACCUCCAAAUCACCAUCCGAACAAGAACCUAAGUCUAAAAUUACCCAAUAGUUAUCGAAACCAUCAAAACAUAAUUUUAGACCCAUUACACAUAAGUCAACAUCUAGUCAACCUUUUGAACUUAAGCUUCCAACCUUUAGACUAAGUGUCUCAACUCAUUCCGAAAUAUUUAUGAAACCGAAAUGACAAUCCGACAAGUCACGUAACAACAAUUUCGCAUAGUAUAAGAAAUAAAUGGAAAAAUGAGGCUACAAUAAUCAAAACGACUGGCCAGAUCGCUACAUUAUCCGUAGCAAUGAGCUUAAGGAUAUCCACGAGUUCAAAACCUAUCAUGGAAAAUGCUUUCAAAUAAAAGAUUUGGGUACACUGAAAUAUAUUUUAGGAGUGGAUGUCUCCAAAGUUUUAGAAGGCAUCUUCUUGAGCUAAUGAAAAUAUGCCUCAGAUAUUAUUAUAGAGGUUGGAUUAUUAGGUGCUAAAGCUGUGGGAAUGCCAUUAGAACAUAAUCAUUGUCCAGUAUUGGCGGGUGGACAUGUGCUUGAUGACCCUGCGUGUUAUCUUCGUUUGAUAGAUCGACGUAUUUAUCUGUGUUUCACUUGGUCAGAACUAUCGUAAAAUUUUUAUAUUUAUCUCAGUUCACGCAACAACCUAAAAAGGAGCAUUAGGAUGCAACUUUACGAGUUGUUCGCUACCUGAAAGAGAAUAUCUAACAACGUAUUUUGUUAAAAAGCAAAUAUGAUCUACGUUUAUAUGGAUGAUGUGACUCUGAUUGGGCUGGUUGUCCUUUGACUCGAUGCACUCUGAAAGGUUGGUUUAUCUUGUUGGGUGACUCACUAAGAAUAUGCUAUCUCUCGAUCAACUGCAGAGGCUAAAUAUCAUUAUAUGGCAAUGAAAAUCUGUUAGGUGAAAUGGUUGAAGAAAUUUUUGUCUAGUUUGGGAGUGACUUAAAUUUUCUUUCAUCUUUAUUGUGCCGAUCAAGCAGCUUUGAACAUAGCAAAGAAUUUAGUAUUUUAUGAAAGAACC